RNAcentral lists this ribosomal RNA (222 nucleotides) under uncultured bacterium. RNAcentral's name for it is "partial 16S ribosomal RNA". It matches the Rfam family "Bacterial small subunit ribosomal RNA", at positions 114 to 334 of the family's 1533-position model. The record is from RNAcentral.
CGUGUGGGCAACCUGCCCUGUACUGGGGAAUAAUCAUUGGAAACGAUGACUAAUACCGCAUGUGGUCCUCGGAAGGCAUCUUCUGAGGAAGAAAGGAUUUAUUCGGUACAGGAUGGGCCCGCAUCUGAUUAGCUAGUUGGUGAGAUAACAGCCCACCAAGGCGACAAUCAGUAGCCGACCUGAGAGGGUGAUCGGCCACAUUGGGACUGAGACACGGCCCAA